UCCUAAGAGUUGUAGCUGAUGUUGGUUUGAUUGGACUCCCAAAUGAUGGGAAAUCAACGCUUCUGGCAGCCAUUACACUUGCAAAACCCGAUAUCGCCGAUUAUCCUUUUACAACAUUAAUGCCAAAUCUUGGUCGCCUUGAUGGUCCAUGUUGUUGAUGCAUCUAUUGAAAACAUGACUACAGAACUGUCAGAGAAGUAUGUACAUUGCAUUUUAUAAAUUAGAAUCAGGUUUUUUGUUGGCUCAGCAGCUUUAAUCGAAUUUGUUGGUUGUUAUUGAAUGUAUUAUAGCUUUAAAUUUUUUUU
This is a long non-coding RNA of Trifolium pratense (red clover), 305 nucleotides long. RefSeq lists it as uncharacterized. The record is from RefSeq and is a predicted model, not a curated record. The transcript has 2 exons. NCBI's taxonomy places the organism in Eukaryota, Viridiplantae, Streptophyta, Magnoliopsida, Fabales, Fabaceae.